This 468-nucleotide ribosomal RNA is filed under the name uncultured bacterium. RNAcentral describes it as "partial 16S ribosomal RNA". It matches the Rfam family "Bacterial small subunit ribosomal RNA", at positions 28 to 507 of the family's 1533-position model. The record is from RNAcentral.
GACGAACGCUGGCGGCGUGCUUAACACAUGCAAGUCGAACGGAAAGGCCCUGCUUUUGUGGGGUGCUCGAGUGGCGAACGGGUGAGUAACACGUGAGUAACCUGCCCUUGACUUUGGGAUAACUUCAGGAAACUGGGGCUAAUACCGGAUAGGAGCUCCUGCUGCAUGGUGGGGGUUGGAAAGUUUCGGCGGUUGGGGAUGGACUCGCGGCUUAUCAGCUUGUUGGUGGGGUAGUGGCUUACCAAGGCUUUGACGGGUAGCCGGCCUGAGAGGGUGACCGGCCACAUUGGGACUGAGAUACGGCCCAGACUCCUACGGGAUGCAGCAGUGGGGAAUAUUGCACAAUGGGCGGAAGCCUGAUGCAGCAACGCCGCGUGCGGGAUGACGGCCUUCGGGUUGUAAACCGCUUUCGCCUGUGACGAAGCGUGAGUGACGGUAAUGGGUAAAGAAGCACCGGCUAACUACGUG